Molecule: ribosomal RNA, 442 nt
Filed under: uncultured Prevotella sp.
Lineage: Bacteria; Pseudomonadati; Bacteroidota; Bacteroidia; Bacteroidales; Prevotellaceae
Description: bacterial SSU rRNA
Rfam family: Bacterial small subunit ribosomal RNA
Source: RNAcentral
UGAGGAAUAUUGGUCAAUGGACGGAAGUCUGAACCAGCCAAGUAGCGUGCAGGAUGACGGCCCUAUGGGUUGUAAACUGCUUUUAUGUGGGAAUAAAGUCAGGGACGUGUCCCUGUUUGCAUGUACCACAGGAAUAAGGACCGGCUAAUUCCGUGCCAGCAGCCGCGGUAAUACGGAAGGUCCGGGCGUUAUCCGGAUUUAUUGGGUUUAAAGGGAGCGCAGGCCGGGUAUUAAGCGUGUUGUGAAAUGUAGGCGCCCAACGUCUGCACCGCAGCGCGAACUGGUGCCCUUGAGUACGCACGACGUUGGCGGAAUUCGCCGUGUAGCGGUGAAAUGCUUAGAUAUGGCGAAGAACUCCGAUUGCGAAGGCAGCUGACGGGAGCGCUACUGACGCUCAUGCUCGAAAGCGCGGGUAUCGAACAGGAUUAGAUACCCUGGUAGU